CUCAAGCAAAAAAUGCUCGCUUAUCAUACUUCUCAACUAUUGACCAUAUAACAAGUGAAAUCUUAAACAUCAAUCCCAAUAUAUCAAAGCUUUACAUCGUGUGACCCAUGCAUAUCGGAUCUCUAAAACAUUUAUCCAAGUCGAAAAGACGAUAAGUUUUGCCUAGACAAAGGUCUCGAGGCACGAGAAAUUGAGUAUCCCAUUGUCUCCCAAUCCUAACUAUACUUU
RNAcentral lists this long non-coding RNA (228 nucleotides) under Oryza brachyantha (malo sina). RNAcentral's name for it is "long non-coding RNA (OBRA_LNC002909)". The record is from RNAcentral. Lineage: Eukaryota; Viridiplantae; Streptophyta; Magnoliopsida; Poales; Poaceae.